UGCCAUCCAGGACCCAAGGCCUUUCUGUAGUGUCAUGGAUCCGGCAAAGUGCAGCACCCGCACAUGCUUCCAGACUCAACUUUUCUUCAGAGCUACAAAA
Long non-coding RNA from Thalassophryne amazonica, 100 nucleotides. RefSeq lists it as uncharacterized. The record is from RefSeq and is a predicted model, not a curated record. Lineage: Eukaryota; Metazoa; Chordata; Actinopteri; Batrachoidiformes; Batrachoididae. The transcript has 3 exons.